UCGAUUAUAUUAUCACUAAUGCACCGGAUUCUAUCAAAACUUCGCAGUUAAGCGUACUUGGACGAGAGUAAUACUAUGAUGGGUGACCCCCUGAAAAGUCCUCAUAUUACACCCU
Non-coding RNA from Ilex paraguariensis (yerba mate), 115 nucleotides. Lineage: Eukaryota; Viridiplantae; Streptophyta; Magnoliopsida; Aquifoliales; Aquifoliaceae. The record is from the annotation of a GenBank genome assembly.